CUACGUGCCAGCAGCCGCGGUAAUACGGAAGGUCCGGGCGUUAUCCGGAUUUAUUGGGUUUAAAGGGAGCGUAGGCCGGAGAUUAAGUGUGUUGUGAAAUGUAGACGCUCAACGUCUGACUUGCAGCGCAUACUGGUUUCCUUGAGUACGCACAACGUUGGCGGAAUUCGUCGUGUAGCGGUGAAAUGCUUAGAUAUGACGAAGAACUCCGAUUGCGAAGGCAGCUGACGGGAGCGCAACUGACGCUGAAGCUCGAAGGUGCGGGUAUCGAACAGGAUUAGAUACCCUGGUAGUCCGCACAGUAAACGAUGGAUGCCCGCUGUUGGUACCUAGUAUCAGCGGCUAAGCGAAAGCAUUAAGCAUCCCACCUGGGGAGUACGCCGGCAACGGUGAAACUCAAAGGAAUUGACGGGGACCCGCACAAGCGGUGGAGCAUGUGGUUUAAUUCGACGCAACGCGAGGAACCUUACCAGAUCUUGACAUCC
RNAcentral lists this ribosomal RNA (485 nucleotides) under uncultured bacterium. RNAcentral's name for it is "bacterial SSU rRNA". It matches the Rfam family "Bacterial small subunit ribosomal RNA", at positions 501 to 989 of the family's 1533-position model. The record is from RNAcentral.